GUGGUUCAUGUCUUCUGUUUCCUUAUUGAACUUCUGUCUGGUUGUUCUAUCCAUAACUGAAAGUCAGAUAGUGAAAUUGCCUACCAUUAUUGUGUUGCUGUUUAUUUCUCCCCUCAGUUCUAAGUUUGCUCCAUAUUUUUGGGAGCUCUAAUGUGAGGCAAUGGUACAAAAUAACCGCAUAGAGCUUCUCAAUCAUCCUGUGUGUAAAGAAUAUUUACUCAUGAAAUGGUUGGCUUAUGGAUUUAGAGCUCAUAUGAUGAAUUUAGGAUCUUACUGUCUUGGUCUCAUACCUAUGACCAUUCUCGUUGUCAAUAUAAAACCAGGAAUGGCUUUCAACUCAACUGGAAUCAUCAAUGAAACUAGUGAUCAUUCAGAAAUACUAGAUACCACGAAUUCAUAUCUAAUAAAAACUUGUAUGAUUUUAGUGUUUUUAUCAAGUAUAUUUGGGUAUUGCAAAGAAGCGGGGCAAAUUUUCCAACAGAAAAGGAAUUAUUUUAUGGAUAUGAGCAAUGUUUUUGAAUGGAUUAUCUACACGACGGGCAUCAUUUUUGUGCUGCCCUUGUUUGUUGAAAUACCAGCUCAUCUGCAGUGGCAAUGUGGAGCAAUUGCUGUUUACUUCUACUGGAUGAAUUUCUUACUGUAUCUUCAAAGAUUUGAAAAUUGUGGAAUUUUUAUUGUUAUGUUGGAGGUAAUUUUGAAAACUUUGUUGAGGUCUACAG
RNAcentral lists this small RNA (719 nucleotides) under Pongo abelii (Sumatran orangutan). RNAcentral describes it as "processed transcript". The record is from RNAcentral. Lineage: Eukaryota; Metazoa; Chordata; Mammalia; Primates; Hominidae.